GGCCUCUAGUGCUGUCGGCAGGGACCCCGCGCACCAGCCUGUGUGGUACCGGAAGCCCGAUGAAGUCUUGUCCCACGGGAAGGUAAACUCCAUAAGAAAAAGAAUUUGUAUCCGUUUUGUUCAGUGCUGUGCUCUCUGGGGCCUUGAAUGGAGCUUUGGAUAACAGACGCUCGAUGAAUAUUCCUUGAACGAAUGAAUGAAUGCAGCCUGCACUUAGAAAAACGUCUCUAUGGAGUAUAUAGAUUGUGAAGUCAUUGUACUCAUGGAGAGACAAGUUCCUUAACAGUUCUCAAACGUGUCAAGAGCUUCAUACACGUGAACGCGAACAUGGACUUUUUCAAUGAAGCCACCCUUCGUGAAAGCAGAGGCUUCCAGAGCAGUGUGGAUGCAGGGGGCGGGUCCAGAGCACGCCUAUUCGGAGAGGCGCAAAAGCAGCCCAGUUCAAUGAAAGAGCAUGUGGAGUUUUAGAGAGAAAACAAUGUAAUUCCUCAAAAUGGCUAUUUUUGAGAAAAGUCUGUACUCUUCAUCACGUUGCUUCUGGAAAGUUUCUAGAGGCUUCUGGAUUUAGAAGGCUGGGCUCCAGAUACAAAUAACACAGGUCUGUCUGUCUUCUUCCCAGAGCCACCUUUUCUUGUUUUAGGAGGAAGGAAGCAUGCAUGUGACUCGUACUUCCUUCAGGCCCUGGAGAUUGUCCUCCAUCACUAUCCGGAUCAAAACUCUCCUGCCUGCUCUUAACACUGAAGGACUGAGUGAAUUCCAAGAGUGGCCUUGCCGAGUGAGUCAUAUCCCCAUUUCGCGUGAUUUGGACCUUACUCAGCCAAGGACAUUUAAGCGUUUCUGGAUGAAUUAUUUAAGGAGGGGGCAAAGGAAGACUGAGAGGUAGAUCCUGAGAUUCAAGUUGGAUUCUGUGGAAUUGAUUAGCAGCAACAAACCAGGCUUGGCACAUCCUGUACACGUGCUAUGGCUAUUGGGUAGUUCUCAAGGGGCCAUUCUGCUUCAACAGUUGCCCCCCAAUUAUAUUCUCAAGACAGUAGCUGGAGUAAUCCUUUGAACAGGUAAGUCACAUCCCCUCUGCUAAAAACCUUCCAGUGGCUUUCCAUCUUACUCUGAGUGAAAGCUAGAGUUUUGCAGUGGCCUGAAAGGCCCUGUGUGACCUGUCCUCACUCCAGACACCUGCUUAACCUAAUCUGCUACCACUGUCACCAGCUUCGCUAGGGCCACACUGGUCUCUUGACUUUCCUCAGACACACCAGCCAAAUUCCUACCUCGGGGCCUCUGCUUUUGCUGCACGUUCAGCCCUGGAAAACUCUCCUCCCAGGUAACUUAGUGACUCCCUUCCUCACUUCUUCCAAGGUCUCUGCUCAAAUGUCACCUUCCCUGCGAGGUCUUCCCUGGACAGCCUUAAAAAAAUUAGCAAUCAGGGGCGCCUGGGUGGCCC
Molecule: long non-coding RNA, 1438 nt
Organism: Lynx canadensis (Canada lynx)
Lineage: Eukaryota; Metazoa; Chordata; Mammalia; Carnivora; Felidae
Exons: 3
Source: RefSeq, a predicted model, not a curated record